Long non-coding RNA from Trachemys scripta elegans, 935 nucleotides. RefSeq lists it as uncharacterized. The transcript is spliced from 3 exons. The record is from RefSeq and is a predicted model, not a curated record. NCBI's taxonomy places the organism in Eukaryota, Metazoa, Chordata, Testudines, Emydidae.
CUGCUUUCGGGGGGAGAGAAGCCAGCGGCUGCUUCCAGCGCGGGCGGGCGCAGCAAACAGGGGCGCCUCAGCAGCGCCGGGUGGGCGGGCGCAGAGCAGCGCUGAUGGCAGGGCGGGGGCCGCGCUCCCUCAGUCUUUGCAGGGCCCCUGCCCGGGGCGGCCGCUCGGGGUCCCGCCUGGGCCGAGCCGUGGCAGCGCUUCGGCGGACGGGCCUUGCGCUCCCGGGCCAGCGGGGGGGAGUUCCGCGUUGGGAGCGGAGGGGUUAAUUCUCUCUCUCCUCUCCCCCGAUCCGAAGGGGGCCGUUCACACCCGGGGGCAGAGCCGAGGUUCGGGUGCUGGGGGAGCUGGCAAGGCCCUGGGGGUCGGAUAAGCGGAGUUGGGAGUGACUCAGGGCCCGCACGGGUAAUCGCUGGUUCGGAUAAUCAGGAGUUCGGAUAACGGGGGGGACAGUAACUAUUAAGAGGGUAAACUAUGCCCUAGGGCACGAUUGAGGGCGGGUAAAUAGGGGUUGGGGAAGCGAUUUAUGCCCGGGGUACAGACACUGAUGUGGAUAAACCGAGGUUCGGGUACCCCCUUCUGUGGGGGGCACAACCAAGGGGGAAUCUGCACUCUUGGAUGGGCUUCACCGCUGUUAGGAGUCCACACUAACGUGGCUAGCCUCCUGAUGAGCAAAGUUUGUACUUCUGAAAUGUGCCGAUAGACUAUGUAUGUGAGUGCCCUUCUAGGUUUCCCCACGAAGCAGUCCCCAUGCACUGUGAUGCAAUUAGUGGGUUCACAGGAACAGUGCAUUGUUUGAGGAAAGAGUGAUCAAGUUUGGAGCAUAAGUUUGCAUGUGUGUAACAGAGGCCAGAAUUUGUCCCAAUGUCUCCUUUACCAAAGUGUAGCUAACGUGUUUCUCCAAAUUUCCCAGAUUACUGGACAUUCUCACAGCACGA